RNAcentral lists this ribosomal RNA (467 nucleotides) under uncultured organism. RNAcentral's name for it is "partial 16S ribosomal RNA". It matches the Rfam family "Bacterial small subunit ribosomal RNA", at positions 332 to 796 of the family's 1533-position model. The record is from RNAcentral.
UACACUCCUACGGGAGGCAGCAGUGAGGAAUAUUGGACAAUGGGUGGAAGCCUGAUCCAGCCAUCCCGCGUGCAGGAAGACGGCCCUAUGGGUUGUAAACUGCUUUUAUCUGGGGAUAAACCUACUUACGUGUAAGUAGCUGAAGGUACCAGAAGAAUAAGCACCGGCUAACUCCGUGCCAGCAGCCGCGGUAAUACGGAGGGUGCAAGCGUUAUCCGGAUUUAUUGGGUUUAAAGGGUCCGUAGGCGGACUGAUAAGUCAGUGGUGAAAUCCGACAGCUUAACUGUCGAACUGCCAUUGAUACUGUUAGUCUUGAGUAAGGUUGAAGUGGCUGGAAUAAGUAGUGUAGCGGUGAAAUGCAUAGAUAUUACUUAGAACACCAAUUGCGAAGGCAGGUCACUAAGUCUUAACUGACGCUGAUGGACGAAAGCGUGGGGAGCGAACAGGAUUAGAAACCCGUGUAGUCC